Molecule: unclassified non-coding RNA, 402 nt
Filed under: soil metagenome
Description: partial contains 5.8S ribosomal RNA, internal transcribed spacer 2, and large subunit ribosomal RNA
Rfam family: 5.8S ribosomal RNA (bases 1-121)
Source: RNAcentral
GAUGAAGAACGUAGCGAAAUGCGAUAAGUAAUGUGAAUUGCAGAAUUCAGUGAAUCAUCGAAUCUUUGAACGCACCUUGCGCCCUUUGGCCAUUCCGAAGGGCAUGCCUGUUUGAGUAUCAUGAACACCUCAACUCUCAUGGCUCGCCAUGAUGAGCUUGGACUUUGGGGGUCUUGCUGGCCUGUGGUCGGCUCCUCUCAAAUGGAUCAGCUUGCCAGUGUUUGGUGGCAUCACAGGUGUGAUAACUAUCUGCGCUUGUGGUUUUCCAUCAGAUAACCUUCAGUGAUGGAGGUUCGCUGGAGCUCAUAACCGUCUCCCCUAAGCGGGGACAGCCCUUUGAAUGUUUGAUCUCAAAUCAGGUAGGACUACCCGCUGAACUUAAGCAUCUCAAUAAGCGGAGGA